Molecule: non-coding RNA, 213 nt
Organism: Pelobates cultripes (western spadefoot toad)
Lineage: Eukaryota; Metazoa; Chordata; Amphibia; Anura; Pelobatidae
Source: the annotation of a GenBank genome assembly
CUGGUCUCCAUUUGUGGGGUUUUGUACGAAAACCACAGAAGGUAUAGGAAAGCUGGUUAAUGUAGAAUGCUCCCUGUGUUCAGUAGUCUGUAACUCCCGAGCGCCAUUUGUCUAGGUGAACUGGAACUGGAACAGGCUGACGGUCCAUGGUGACGGGUGUUCGCAGGUUUGCCUGGCUGAAAUGAGGUCCAGACACUCGACGGCCAAGUCCCG